CAGUACAAAAGCAUUUUUGUUUAUUUAUGGUUUAGAAUAUAUACUAAUAAUCAUGGUCACUCACUUAAGCUAAGCAGGGCUGCGCCUGGUCAGUAUCUCGAUGGGAGACCACAUGGGAAAGCCAGGCUGCUGC
Molecule: ribosomal RNA, 133 nt
Filed under: Danio rerio (zebrafish)
Lineage: Eukaryota; Metazoa; Chordata; Actinopteri; Cypriniformes; Danionidae
Source: RNAcentral